RNAcentral lists this ribosomal RNA (56 nucleotides) under Oreasteridae sp. NCY2. Its description in RNAcentral is "partial 12S ribosomal RNA". Lineage: Eukaryota; Metazoa; Echinodermata; Asteroidea; Valvatida; Oreasteridae. The record is from RNAcentral.
CAGAGGAGAAAAGUUGUAACAAAGUAGGCGUAUUGGAAAUGCGCCUGGGAACUAAA